Molecule: unclassified non-coding RNA, 515 nt
Filed under: Hevea brasiliensis (rubber tree)
Lineage: Eukaryota; Viridiplantae; Streptophyta; Magnoliopsida; Malpighiales; Euphorbiaceae
Source: RNAcentral
CCGGAUAUUCAUUGCAGCGUGAUUUAGAGUCAUUGAAGUUUUGAGUUUCCAAAUGGAUGAAGUACAAGAAUUUUUAGGAAAUAAUAGACUUGAAGACGUGCGUUGGCUCUGUACCUUGUCUGAGUCUGAGCUUGAUAUGCUGAUUAGCUUGAAAAUGCUGGUCAUUCAACGUGCCAAAGCAUUGGGUCACAAGCAGCUAGCUAUGAAAUUUGAUCUGAAGAUGCUUAGAAUUCUUGCACUUGUGUUGAUGGAAUAUCUGAAAGGAAAUGUUGAAAAUUUAUCUCAUAUUCCGGGCAUGGCCAAAGCUCCUGAUUUCAUUGAUGGUUGCUGUUUAUCUCAAUGUAAGCUUGAGGCCAUCUUGAGCAUUGAGGAGCUAAAGGCAUGUAUUGGUAUUGAUAAGAGCAAAAAACCAGCUAAAAGACCACGUGAAGAGGCUGCAGUCAAACAGAAGAAAUAAUUGGAAAAAAAAAAUUAUGUAAGCCAAUCAAAGUUAUGAUCAUGUUUAUUGAUCCUGC